Molecule: long non-coding RNA, 370 nt
Organism: Mytilus trossulus (common blue mussel)
Lineage: Eukaryota; Metazoa; Mollusca; Bivalvia; Mytilida; Mytilidae
Exons: 3
Source: RefSeq, a predicted model, not a curated record
AUAGGUUGCGGAAGCAGAUAUUCAUCCUUUGGUUCUGGGAGAAGUAUCCAAACAAUUGAAGAUUGUUUACAAUAUUGUUCUGGUUAUUCAUCCUCUUUAUACUUUGUUAUCAAGAGUUCCAUAUGCAGUUGUUUGUCUGACAAACCUGAAACUUAUGAUGACAUCAAUGACUGUCGAGCGAUAUGUACAAACUCUUCCAACACACCAUGUCAUUAUGGAAAUUCAGCUUUAGUGUUUGCAUUUGUUGAAGAUUCCAAUAUAAAGUUGCCAUCUCGGUAUAUUGAAAAGGAAUGCAUUUCAACAGACAACCACAACCAAUAUUUAACUGUAAGAGACUGCAAUGAAAAACAUCUAUAUGGAUGCAGAAACA